CCAGGAGUUGGUCUGGGGUGA
Molecule: unclassified non-coding RNA, 21 nt
Filed under: Mus musculus (house mouse)
Lineage: Eukaryota; Metazoa; Chordata; Mammalia; Rodentia; Muridae
Description: oocyte_clustered_small_RNA5798
Source: RNAcentral